Molecule: unclassified non-coding RNA, 402 nt
Filed under: soil metagenome
Description: partial contains 5.8S ribosomal RNA, internal transcribed spacer 2, and large subunit ribosomal RNA
Rfam family: 5.8S ribosomal RNA (bases 1-121)
Source: RNAcentral
GAUGAAGAACGUAGUGAAAUGCGAUAAGUAAUGUGAAUUGCAGAAUUCAGUGAAUCAUCGAAUCUUUGAACGCACCUUGCGCCCUUUGGCUAUUCCGAAGGGCAUGCCUGUUUGAGUAUCAUGAACACCUCAACUCUCAUGGCUUGCUGUGAUGAGCUUGGAAUUUGGGGGUCUUGUUGGCUUGUGAGCCAGCUCCUCCUAAAUGAAUUAGCUUGCCGGUGUUUGGUGGCAUCACAGGUGUGAUAACUAUCUACGCUUGUGGUUUCCCAUCAGGUAACCUCCAGUGAUGGAGGUUCGCUGGGGCUCAUAAAUGUCUCUCCUCAGUGAGGACAGAUUUUGACUGUUUGAUCUCAAAUCAGGUAGGACUACCCGCUGAACUUAAGCAUAUCAAUAAGCGGAGGA